This 486-nucleotide ribosomal RNA is filed under the name uncultured bacterium. Its description in RNAcentral is "partial 16S ribosomal RNA". It matches the Rfam family "Bacterial small subunit ribosomal RNA", at positions 899 to 1397 of the family's 1533-position model. The record is from RNAcentral.
ACUCAAAUGAAUUGACGGGGGCCCGCACAAGCAGCGGAGCGUGUGGUUUAAUUCGAGGCUACACGAAGAACCUUACCUGGGUUUGACAUGCAGGUGGUAGGGAGAUGAAAGUCGAACGACCUUCGGGAGCCUGCACAGGUGCUGCAUGGCUGUCGUCAGCUCGUGCCGUGAGGUGUUAGGUUAAGUCCUGUAACGAGCGCAACCCCCGGAGUCAGUUACACGUAGUCUGGCUCAACUGCCCGUGACAAGCGGGAGGAAGGUGGGGAUGACGUCAAGUCAGCAUGGCCUUUAUAUCCAGGGCUACACACACGCUACAAUGGCCGGUACAAUGGGAAGCCAAGCCGCAAGGCGGAGCAAAUCCUCUCAAAGCCGGUCACAGUUCGGAUUGUGGGCUGCAACUCGCCCACAUGAAGUUGGAGUUGCUAGUAACCGCGCGUCAGCCAUAGUGCGGUGAAUACGUUCCCGGGCCUUGCACACACCGCCCGU